Long non-coding RNA from Carassius auratus (goldfish), 581 nucleotides. RefSeq lists it as uncharacterized. The transcript is spliced from 3 exons. NCBI's taxonomy places the organism in Eukaryota, Metazoa, Chordata, Actinopteri, Cypriniformes, Cyprinidae. The record is from RefSeq and is a predicted model, not a curated record.
CUAUGGUACAAAUUAGAUCAUCUUGACCAUGAUGGACAUACCACAUUGUUAUCAUCUGUUGUAUAAUGACAUGUUUUAUGACUGACAUUAUUUGCAAACCCAUACCUCAUCAAAAUCAUGCUCAUCUGAGUGUUUCUUUAGUGCUGGUUCCCUUUAUUGCUGUGGGAUGCAGCAAAGUGUCUGUAGCGGUGCCCUUUAUUUGUGGUCAGCAAAUAGCUGAGAUCAGGCUGAUUUAGGCUCUGAUGUGGUUGUGGUCUUUGAUCCCUGCACUGGCGAGCUUAUCGUUCUAUCUGCUGACUAGAUACGGCCACCUCCAGUGACACAUCGACUUCUCCUCCUGACCCUACAGGCAGCUCAGAGAUCCCUGGAUCACUCAGCAGUACACCAGAUGCUACAAUCUCGAGCCAGACAGACACCUCGUCUUUAACUACAAUGCCAUCUCCGUCUGGUCCAACACUCACAGUCGUACCCACAGCACCUGACCAGCCAGUUUCCACAGCACCAGAUGUGAUACCCGAUGUGGCCACCACAGCAACCGACACCAUGACAGCAACUACUGGCUUUGUUACAAGCAGUCCAUU